This 492-nucleotide ribosomal RNA is filed under the name uncultured bacterium. Its description in RNAcentral is "partial 16S ribosomal RNA". It matches the Rfam family "Bacterial small subunit ribosomal RNA", at positions 29 to 507 of the family's 1533-position model. The record is from RNAcentral.
AGUGAACGCUGGCGGUAGGCCUAACACAUGCAAGUCGAACGGCCGCACAAUAAGCGUUUGCUCUUAAGGGUGGCGGGUGGCGGGCGGGUGAGGCGUACAUCGGCAUCCUAUUUUACGUGGAGGAUUUCGUAGGGACGCUUCCGAUACUACCUCAUAUAAUCAACGGGUGAAAGCAGUGGAUCAUCACACCUUUCCUGUCUCAAUGAGCCGAUGUCGGAUUAGCUAGUUGGCGGGGUAAAGGCCCACCAAGGCAACGCAACGUAGCCGGGCUGAGAGGAUGAUCAGCCACACUGGAACUGAGACACGGUCCAGACUCCUACGGGAGGCAGCAGUAGGGAAUAUUGGACAAUGGGCGCAAGCCUGAUCGAGCCAUGCCGCGUGAGUGAAGAAGGCCUUCGGGUUGUAAAGCCCUUUUAUUGGGAAAGAAAAGCAGCAGGUGUAUACCCGGCUGUUCUGACGGUACCCAAAGAAUAAGCACCGGCUAACUUCGUG